This 67-nucleotide transfer RNA is filed under the name Marmota monax (woodchuck). RNAcentral describes it as "tRNA.Ala". It matches the Rfam family "tRNA". From Rfam's summary of the family: Transfer RNA (tRNA) molecules are approximately 80 nucleotides in length. Their secondary structure includes four short double-helical elements and three loops (D, anti-codon, and T loops). Lineage: Eukaryota; Metazoa; Chordata; Mammalia; Rodentia; Sciuridae. The record is from RNAcentral.
GGUUGUGGCUCAGAGGUAGAGCACUUGCCUAGCAUGUGUGAGGCACUGGGUUCGAUUCUCAGCACCA